This 68-nucleotide transfer RNA is filed under the name Podarcis lilfordi (Lilford's wall lizard). RNAcentral describes it as "tRNA.Ile". The record is from RNAcentral. Lineage: Eukaryota; Metazoa; Chordata; Lepidosauria; Squamata; Lacertidae.
GCAGCUCAGUUGGUUAGAGUGAGGUGCUGAUAAUGCCAAGAUCAUGGGUUUGAUCCCCGUAUGGGCCA